Candidatus Ryanbacteria bacterium is the source of this 83-nucleotide non-coding RNA. The record is from Rfam. Lineage: Bacteria; Candidatus Ryaniibacteriota.
GCCGGAGUGGCGGAAUGGUUUACGCAGAGGACUUAAAAUCCUUGCCCUGAAAAGGGUUGUGGGUUCGAAUCCCACCUCCGGCA